This 1501-nucleotide non-coding RNA is filed under the name Hespellia stercorisuis DSM 15480. Its description in RNAcentral is "Bacterial large subunit ribosomal RNA". It matches the Rfam family "Bacterial large subunit ribosomal RNA", at positions 655 to 2178 of the family's 2925-position model. The record is from Rfam by way of RNAcentral. Lineage: Bacteria; Bacillati; Bacillota; Clostridia; Lachnospirales; Lachnospiraceae.
AAGGUGUGGAGCCGAAGGGAAACCAAGUCUUAAUAGGGCGUCAAGUCAGUCGGAGUAGACCCGAAACCGGGUGAUCUACCCAUGUCCAGGUUGAAGUUGCCGUAAAAGGCAAUGGAGGACCGAACGCACAUCCGUUGAAAAGGGUGGCGAUGAGGUGUGGGUAGGGGAGAAAUUCCAAUCGAACCCGGAGAUAGCUGGUUCUCCUCGAAAUAGCUUUAGGGCUAGCCUUAUACAAGUCUUGCGGAGGUAGAGCACUGAAUUUCCUAGGGGGCGUCAAAGCUUACCAAAGAAUAUCAAACUCCGAAUGCCGCGUAGAUGAUGUAUGGGAGUCAGACUACACGAGAUAAGUUGGGUGGUCAAAAGGGAAAGAGCCCAGACCUACAGCUAAGGUCCCAAAAUGUGUGUUAAGUGGAAAAGGAUGUGAGAUUUCGAAGACAACUAGGAUGUUGGCUUAGAAGCAGCCAUACAUUAAAAGAGUGCGUAAUAGCUCACUAGUCGAGAGGUCUUGCGCCGAAAAUGUCCGGGGCUAAAACACACUACCGAAGCUUAGGGAUUGACGAAUGUCAAUCGGUAGAGGAGCAUUCUUAACUGCGACGAAGCUGUACCGAUAAGGAGCAGUGGAGUGUUAAGAAGAGAGAAUGCCGGAAUGAGUAGCGAGAGGAAGGUGAGAAUCCUUCCGGCCGAAUAUCUAAGGUUUCCAGAGUAAAGCUGAUCUGCUCUGGGUAAGUCGGGGCCUAAGGCGAGGUCGAAAGACGUAGUCGAUGGAUAACUGGUUGAAAUUCCAGUACUAUGAUAUAACAGAACUGUGGGGACGCAUAAGGAAAGCGAGAGCCGGGAAUGGAAAAACCGGUACAAGCGAGGUACCAGUGUGGUUGGCAAAUCCGCCAUACAAUGGGAAGACGUGACGUGGAUCGAACUAAAGUAGAGAAGCUCGUGAGCCAUGUGCCAAGAAAAGCCGCUAUUGUUUAUAUCAUACCCGUACCGUAAACCGACACAGGUGGAUGAGGAGAGAAUCCUAAGGCCGACGGGAGAAGCAUUGUUAAGGAACUCGGCAAAAUGACUCCGUAACUUCGGGAGAAGGAGUGCCAACGCAAGUUGGUCGCAGAGAAUUGGUCCAAGCAACUGUUUAGCAAAAACACAGCUCUAUGCAAAACCGAAAGGUGAAGUAUAUGGGGUGACGCCUGCCCGGUGCUGGAAGGUUAAGGGGAGAGGUUAGCGCAAGCGAAGCUUUGAACUUAAGCCCCAGUAAACGGCGGCCGUAACUAUAACGGUCCUAAGGUAGCGAAAUUCCUUGUCGGGUAAGUUCCGACCCGCACGAAAGGCGUAAUGAUUUGGACACUGUCUCAACAAUGCACCCGGUGAAAUUGAAAUACCAGUGAAGAUGCUGGUUACCUGCGCCAGGACGGAAAGACCCCAUGGAGCUUUACUCUAGCUUGAUACUGGGAUUCGAUAUUGCAUGUACAGGAUAGGUGGGAGACUAGGAAUCUAUGACGCCAGUCAU